ACGUUGCCACAGAUGUAGAUCCAAAAAGUUCUAAAAAGUGCCUUUAAGCGUUUUUUGGUCUCUGCAUAAAGGUCUCUAGUGUCCUUAAAGCUUCAGUCCUGUGUGGGAUCUCUGGGAAUAUGAGACUAAUAAUUAAGGUUAAAAGCCUGGCAGUCUUGGUAGUGCUGUGUAGCUGUAAAAGGAAGCUGAGACUUGAAUCAUGAGAAGAAGUGGUAGAAACCAUUUACGCUAGUGACUUUCUAUCUCUCUUGUCUGAGUUAAAGUGAGCCAAUUUUCCUUCCAGACCUGGCUAUUUCUUCUCAGUCUGCCACUUUGGAGACCCUCCUCUUCUCCAAAGGGAAGGAGCUGGGGAGAGGCUGGAAGACAGAGCUGGGGAGGCAGCACUCCUGACAGAGAAACAGCCCUUGCCACCAGGAUGGGUCCUCUACAGGUACACUGUGUGUCCUGGCUCCUCUCAGAGACAUUUGUUUUUCUCCCUUGGUUGUUACUGCUUUUCAGUCCUUUGAUGGUUUCUGCAAGGAUUUCAGAUUUACUUCAUUUUUUGGACAUAUUCAAGAGAAUGGAUUAUUCUUCCAUAUCCUUAUUUCUAGAAGGAAGCAGAUGCAGGUACUGCUGUUAGACCAUGGUACUAGCCUGUCUUGUAUUUUUCCUAUGCGGAAGUUUUACAUAGAAUGACAGAGAAAACCGAGUAUUGGCCAAUACAGUAGAUCACAUGAUUUUUCUUUUGUGUUUUGCAUGUCACUGUGACCUUCUUGUCUCCUUAGAAGCAGGUCAGGCUAUAGUGCCUCGAGCAGCACUUUUCUCUUGCCCAUAAACAGCAAGCCAGCAAUUACGGAAAGCCAUGGUUAUCUGAAUUGGUAACAUAGGAUUGGUAUAUAAUUGCACAGCGACCUAAGAGAAUAAGCUUAAAUGACUUUCUGCAUCUCUCUCAUCUCUUGUUAUUGCUUCUGUAAAUACAUUCUACGUUGUUUCUGUGAUUAGUUAAUUCUUACACGUGGAAGUUGCAUGCCUUGUGUCAUUUUUCAUAAGGUUCUCAAGAGCAGAUUGAUCAGGUGCUUUUAGGAGCAUGUCUGCCAUCAGCAGCUAAUGUUGCGGUUUAUACAGUGCUGAUGAGUAGUACAGAAACAGUUGAAAAAGGCCAGUUUUCUCAAUAUGUAAUUCCUCUGUAUGCAUGCUGCAUUGUCAUGGCCAAUUUUUGCCAGAACUGCUCUCCACUGCAUAUGCCUGUGUGCAGUAACACUCUAAUUCAGUAAGUAUUCUGGGAGCAUAUGUCAUUCACACCCAAAGUUCAUCAUAUUCUGGCACAUGCACUGAGCCUUAUGUUGCUUUUUGAGGUGUUUGUAGAAAACUUGCUCUGUCUUUUGGUGUAAAAGCAUGCAAGAAUGAUGGCUUCAUCUUAAGCCGUUCAAAGCAGAGAAGUCCCUUCUGGGGAGGCCAUUUCAGCUCCUUUUCUCUGUACAAGGACAUGAAGGUGAACAUGGGCUGACAAGACCAGUAUGAACAUUCCUCCAGAGUUCACUAUGCCUGCAUGCCACUGCAUUAGUUGUAUCUUAUUUUCACGCUUUCUCCUAGCGAUACUUUUUGCAUGACCUUCAAGUUAUCUCUUGAAUUUCGGUUCU
Calidris pygmaea (Spoon-billed sandpiper) is the source of this 1619-nucleotide long non-coding RNA. The record is from Ensembl. NCBI's taxonomy places the organism in Eukaryota, Metazoa, Chordata, Aves, Charadriiformes, Scolopacidae.